CGGUGAAUACGUUCCCGGGCCUUGUACACACCGCCCGUCAAGCCAUGGAAGUUUGGGGUACCUGAAGUCGGUGACCGUAACAGGAGCUGCCUAGGGUAAAACAAGUAACUAGGGCU
Molecule: ribosomal RNA, 116 nt
Filed under: uncultured bacterium
Lineage: Bacteria
Description: partial 16S ribosomal RNA
Rfam family: Bacterial small subunit ribosomal RNA
Source: RNAcentral